Molecule: ribosomal RNA, 469 nt
Filed under: uncultured bacterium
Lineage: Bacteria
Description: partial 16S ribosomal RNA
Rfam family: Bacterial small subunit ribosomal RNA
Source: RNAcentral
GACGAACGCUGGCGGCGUGCUUAACACAUGCAAGUCGAACGGAAAGGCCCUGCUUUUGUGGGGUGCUCGAGUGGCGAACGGGUGAGUAACACGUGAGUAACCUGCCCUUGACUUUGGGAUAACUUCAGGAAACUGGGGCUAAUACCGGAUAGGAGCUCCUGCUGCAUGGUGGGGGUUGGAAAGUUUCGGCGGUUGGGGAUGGACUCGCGGCUUAUCAGCUUGUUGGUGGGGUAGUGGCUUACCAAGGCUUUGACGGGUAGCCGGCCUGAGAGGGUGACCGGCCACAUUGGGACUGAGAUACGGCCCAGACGCCUACGGGAGGCAGCAGGGGGGAAUAUUGCACAAUGGGCGGAAGCCUAAUGCAGCAACGCCGCGUGCGGGAUGACGGCCUUCGGGUUGUAAACCGCUUUCGCCUGUGACGAAGCGUGAGUGACGGUAAUGGGUAAAGAAGCACCGGCUAACUACGUGC